RNAcentral lists this ribosomal RNA (779 nucleotides) under uncultured Neocallimastigales. Its description in RNAcentral is "partial large subunit ribosomal RNA". It matches the Rfam family "Eukaryotic large subunit ribosomal RNA", at positions 22 to 646 of the family's 3401-position model. The record is from RNAcentral. Lineage: Eukaryota; Fungi; Neocallimastigomycota; Neocallimastigomycetes; Neocallimastigales.
AUAUCAGUCAUGCAUAGCAUAUCAAUAAGCGGAGGAAAAGAAACUAACAAGGAUUCCCUUAGUAACGGCGAGUGAAGCGGGAAGAGCUCAAAUUUGAAAUCUUCAAGGUUCUACCUUGACGGAAUUGUAGUUUAUAGAAGUGUUUUCUGUUAGUAGAGUGGCAAAAGUUCUUUGGAAUAGGACAUCAUAGAGGGUGAGAAUCCCGUAUUUGGUCAUUCUUUCUAGCUUUGUGAUACACUUUCAACGAGUCGGAUUGUUUGGGGAAUGCAGUCCAAAAUGGGUGGUAAAUUUCAUCUAAAGCUAAAUAUUGGCGAGAGACUGAUAGCGAACAAGUACCGUGAGGGAAAGAUGAAAAGAACUUUGAAAAGAGAGUUAAACAGUACGUGAAAUUGUCAAAAGGGAAGCGUUUGACACCAGUGUUGUUUUUCCGAAAAUCAAUUACGAAUGUUUUAGUUUUUGAGGAGUUAUGACUUCAUCGGCUUGCUUCCUCUCUUUAUGAAACUUUCUUAAUGCACUUUUCGGUUAACAAGUCAACAUCAAUUUCUUUUGUUGUAAAAGGGUAUGAGGAAGGUGGCUUUCUUUUCGGAGAAAGUGUUUAUAGCCUUGUACCUCUGCAAUCGGAGAGAUUGAGGUCUGCAGCGUAGAUCCUUCGGGGUUAGAUACAUUUGUGCUAAGUUAUAGCUUUUCAUAGACAACUUGUUGACUAUGUUUAGUCUUGUAGCUUACUCGCUUACUGCUAUUUUACCUACGCUUAGGAUGUUGAUGUGAUACUGCGAGCA